RNAcentral lists this ribosomal RNA (482 nucleotides) under uncultured bacterium. Its description in RNAcentral is "partial 16S ribosomal RNA". It matches the Rfam family "Bacterial small subunit ribosomal RNA", at positions 30 to 505 of the family's 1533-position model. The record is from RNAcentral.
AUUGAACGCUGGCGGCAGGCCUAACACAUGCAAGUCGAGCGGAUGAAGGGAGCUUGCUCCUGGAUUCAGCGGCGGACGGGUGAGUAAUGCCUAGGAAUCUGCCUGGUAGUGGGGGAUAACGUCCGGAAACGGGCGCUAAUACCGCAUACGUCCUGAGGGAGAAAGUGGGGGAUCUUCGGACCUCACGCUAUCAGAUGAGCCUAGGUCGGAUUAGCUAGUUGGUGGGGUAAAGGCCUACCAAGGCGACGAUCCGUAACUGGUCUGAGAGGAUGAUCAGUCACACUGGAACUGAGACACGGUCCAGACUCCUACGGGAGGCAGCAGUGGGGAAUAUGGGACAAUGGGCGAAAGCCUGAUCCAGCCAUGCCGCGUGUGUGAAGAAGGUCGUCGGAUUGUAAAGCACUUUAAGUUGGGAGGAAGGGCAGUAAGUUAAUACCUUGCUGUUUUGACGGUACCAACAGAAUAAGCACCGGCUAACUUCG